UGGGAUUAAAGGCAUGAGCCACCGCACCCGGCCAGAUGUCAUUCUGUUUGUCACAACCAAGCUCUUCAUAUAUAUCAGUGAAUUCACCUUCACUAAGUUCUCCUGGCUGCAGAUCUAGAGUCUAUCCAACAGUAGCCAUGUAAACAUUUCCACAUUCAGCUAUUUUUUUUAUAACUCUAUUUAUAGAUUUCACUUCCAGCCUCAUCACUUUUCAUUUAUUUGCUGCACUUUGAUCUUUGUUAGUCAAUUCUUUCUUCUGAUUAUCCAUUUUUGUAAAAUGUCACAUGAGUUUGUCACUGGGAGGCUAUCUGUGGGUGAGCUGAGUGAUAUAUGUGCAGUGACCAAUCACUGGCAGACGUUGAAAGGAGUGACAUGAUUGGUCCCUGAUCAUGAUGUGCUUCUGCUAUUUACAUAGCGAUUUGUGGACUGGGAGCAAGCAGUGAGGUUUGUACCUUACGAAAUUAUACACAGGUAAUACACGGUGGUAACUGAAAUUUAAACAGUGUUGUUGGUAGAUUGAAGUUACUUAACUAAAUCCUAGUACCUGAAAUUUGUGCCAUGUCACAAAUGUGAAAAGAAGGGAAAUUCUUGAUUUUUCCAUCGUUAUACCUCAAGUUAUCCCCGACGUCAAAUAUUUAAAUAUAAUAAAAAUUUGAAGCAAAUGAACUGUGGCUGGAAAGCAUGUGAAUUAACCUGGAUUAGGACAAAAAUAAAGCACUCAGUGUUCAACAAAUGUGGUGGCUAGAAAGGCCAAUUAGAAAUAUAUCCUCACCUUGUGUUGCUUGGAGACUACUCAGGCAAUUAAAAUCCAUGCAUACAUAACUGAGGCACAGCAUAAAAAGCUGGCAGAGUGGCAUGGUAAAAAUACCAAGACUAUACAAAAUUCAUCCUCAGGCCAUUUAUUUGGUUGCCAUUUUUUAUUAGAGACCAAAAAUAUCUUCAUUGGAAUUGUUCUACAUAAGAAUUAGUAUGAGUGUGAUGUGUAAAAUAGAUUGCAGGUGUUGUGGGAAGAUUUGUUAGGAGGCUACAUUAUUUGCUAUUUUAGUAUGGCAUAGAAUUACUCUGGAGAAAGAGUUAUUGAGGCAAUGACAGUAGUAAUGGAGAGAGUGAAAAUUACAGAGGUGCAGGAGCUAAGACUUGUCACCUGGAGAUGAACAGAGAGAAGAGAAUCAUUUGGAGACAGCGAUUGUUUCAAGCUGUAGUGAUUUGCAGAAACCUGAAGAUCUGCUGAUCUUCACAAGAUACCAGUGAUGUUUAAUGCAGCUCAUUUGAACAAAAUUAAAACUAUUGCUAGGUUUUCUCACUUAGUUCUGCAUGCCAUCUCUCAUUGUUAUUCAUCUGUAUCACUAGUUCCCUUUAUAGACUAUCAUUUAAUAAAAA
This 1380-nucleotide long non-coding RNA is filed under the name Homo sapiens (human). Its description in RNAcentral is "long non-coding RNA NONHSAT211012". The record is from RNAcentral. Lineage: Eukaryota; Metazoa; Chordata; Mammalia; Primates; Hominidae.